GGCGAGAGUAAAAUAAACGCUAUUUCAAGAAGUAAAAAGGAAAUUAAGGAGCCUUUCACCCACUUCUACCGAAGGAUGCACGAACAAGUGUCUGCUCUACACUUUAUACUACGUCAAGGAGAAGGCCACCACUAUCGUGAAGAGGAAAGGUAGCUCAACUAGAAAGACGAUUAAUAGUUACAACGUUGAAACUCGACGAAGUUACCAGAGGAUCGCUGAACCGAACCAGAAUCGGCAAAGGGUUAACUUCCAGCGACCGAAUAUUCAAGUGACGCUCGAAGAGGAGGAAAACUCUUUGCUCUCGUCGAAUCUUGGAGCGCUAUAAAUUCCUGGCGGGCGGAGCUAUGCGCGUCCAGGAGGUGUAAGUUCCCGAAAAUUGAUCACGAAAGCAUCCGAAGAGGGCAGGCGUCCCUGACCGAGUGCCUUCGGACGCAGAAUCCCAAAACUGAGCGCUUCCGAACGAACGACCAGGAUCUUUUGGGUCAGAGAGUCGUAUAUCUUGUCGGACGACAAUGCCAGAGUCAGUCACCCACUCGCCCGGUUGGACCCACCUCGAUAUAGACGCGUCCGUCGAAAUCUGCCUCAGGUGGAGGCUGGAUUGACGUUCCCUCGGCCGUUUUUAAAUUUCUCAUCCGCGAACGAGGCUGCUAAUCCAGAACUGCAUCCAUCUAUUAAAGGAGACUUUGAAGAUCGUU
This is a long non-coding RNA of Hylaeus volcanicus, 695 nucleotides long. RefSeq lists it as uncharacterized. The record is from RefSeq and is a predicted model, not a curated record. NCBI's taxonomy places the organism in Eukaryota, Metazoa, Arthropoda, Insecta, Hymenoptera, Colletidae. The transcript has 4 exons.